UGUUACUUAUAUGGGGGUUGGGGAGAACUUUAGCACUUCAAUUUGCAUUGGUUAAUUUAACAGAAGUGUACAGCAGACAAAAUUGUUUUUUUUUUCGUUUUUCUUUUUGUUUUUGUUUUUGUUCAAAACCAGCCUAGCGACAAAAGAGCAACUAAAACAGGACUCCUGUUUAGGUGGCCGUCACAGAGAAAAUUAAAAUAAAAUUAAGAUUAAAGCACAAAAUCAUAAAGUCCUUUUUUCAAUUUUUGGGGACUUUGCGCAAGUUAUUUUCACAUCAGUAGGUAUUCCCAAAAUAUGAAAGGUUUGCUGAGCAAACAGGCGGUUUGUAAUUAAAAAUUGUUGCGCCAGCUGUGAGAGGAUGGGCGCCACAGGCUUACCUUUGACUGCGACUAAGUUGAUUUUGUCGACCACUCAGCGCAGGCGGAUUUUGCGUGUAUGUACGUACAUACAUGUUAGUACACUUUUAUAUUAACAUGAGCACAUGCACAUGAUAACUGCUAGUAAAAUCCCCUCUGGAAAAUUAGCUAAGCGCUUCGAACAAAUUUGAAAGCAUAAACGACUCUCAAAGUUUCUGCUGUGGUUAUACUUAGUCAGCCAGCCGCGUAACUUUAAAUGUUUUUAGCCUAAGUGGUUGCCCUUUAUUUGAUUAACUGAAAAGCUCGAAACUUUAAAAUUUGUAUUCAAUAAAUUUUAACAAAUCAGUCAAUGCUUCGAGAAUUUACGAGAUUUUAGUGGCUUUUUGACUUUAAAAAAUAUUUCAACGCUUUUUCUCUUGUUUUUAACGAAUUUAAAAAAAAACACUCGGAAUGUUUUAAAUUAAUAAAAAAUUAUGUGCAGGGUUUAGUUGCAACAAAUUUGAGUGCAGUUUUUAAAUUACACAUUUUUUUAAUUCCAAAAAUUUAAGUCCGGAUUUUAAUUAGCUACAAUUAAUGUCCAGUUUUGAAAUAACGAAAAAAUCAUCCUCAGUUGUAAAAUUUUUAAAAAAGCAUAUAUCCACUCUUUGGGCUUUAAACAUUUUUCUAGAAUUUAAUUUCCAAACCAAAAACCAAAAUCGGGGUUUUAAACAGCCAAAACUGUAUGUCAAAUUGUUAAGUUGUAAGAUUACUAUGGCCAAAAUGGUACCAAAAAUUUAUGUUCAGCUUUUAAAGU
Rhagoletis zephyria (snowberry fruit fly) is the source of this 1149-nucleotide long non-coding RNA. RefSeq lists it as uncharacterized. Lineage: Eukaryota; Metazoa; Arthropoda; Insecta; Diptera; Tephritidae. The record is from RefSeq and is a predicted model, not a curated record.